This 828-nucleotide long non-coding RNA is filed under the name Monodelphis domestica (gray short-tailed opossum). Its description in RNAcentral is "lncRNA (ENSMODG00000031096.2)". The record is from RNAcentral. Lineage: Eukaryota; Metazoa; Chordata; Mammalia; Didelphimorphia; Didelphidae.
GUCAGGCUCUUGUGGCAGAGAGGUAGCUGGUGGCAGUGUGCUGAGUGUCUUAUCAUCUUGGCAUGGCUGCAGCUGUUUUCUGGGUUUGGCAGUGAGCAUCAUUGAUACAGUAACUGGGAAAAGCUUAAUAUCAUAGGUCAGACUUAUUCCACAAAAGGAGAAAAAGGAAUAGGAUGGUCAUUAUACAGGUUCUCUUUAAAAGCUGAAAGGCCAGGGGCCAACAGAAGGGACUGAAGCAACUGAAUGCCUUGAAGAGACUGAAGCAAUACAAAGCUCCCUUCUCUCCUGCUCUCACCAACUCUUCCUUGCCCCUCUCAGGUGGCAAUUCCAGGAUCACAAUAUCAAAAAAUGAAAAUAUAGUCUCAGAUAAAUCAAGAAAGCAGGUGUCCAAAGAGGCUUGGCCUCAAAUGAGGAAAUUUGAUUGCAUCUAUGCAGUGAUAGAGCCACUAUCCUUUGGCAUCUUUUUCUAUACAACUCAGACUCUUCUCAAUUCACUUCAACAAAUAAGAAUUUCUAAAGCAUUCAUUACACACUCAUACUGCACUCAUGCAUCCACAGCUGCACGCGCAAGAACACAAUUCUUUUAGAUCAUAACCCAUUGAACACCACUGUUUUUUUUUUCCUCAACAACUGUUUACUGAGUAUGGGAAAGAAUAUGCAAAAAAGCCAUAACAGUACACUGUUAUUAUCCAGCUACAUCUACCAGACCAUUCCAGAAGUCCCAAAAUAUCUAAACUCCUCUCAUUAUACCAAAAAGAAAUGGCGAGCAUUCUUAUGAGCUACCAACAAAUGAAAGGGUGGUAAUAAAUUAUUUCUAAGAUUUCUUCA